This 860-nucleotide ribosomal RNA is filed under the name uncultured bacterium. RNAcentral's name for it is "bacterial SSU rRNA". It matches the Rfam family "Bacterial small subunit ribosomal RNA", at positions 524 to 1380 of the family's 1533-position model. The record is from RNAcentral.
UACGGAGGGUGCGAGCGUUACCCGGAUUCACUGGGCGUAAAGGGCGUGUAGGCGGCCAGGCGUCGUCCGGCGUUAAAGGCCACGGCUCAACCGUGGAGGUGCGCCGGAUACGGCUUGGCUAGACGGACGGAGAGGGGAGCGGAAUUCCCGGAGUAGCGGUGAAAUGCGUAGAUACCGGGAGGAACGCCGAUGGCGAAGGCAGCUCCCUGGACGUCUCGUGACGCUGAGGCGCGAAAGCGUGGGGAGCAAACCGGAUUAGAUACCCGGGUAGUCCACGCUGUAAACGAUGGGUGCUGGGUGUCGGGCUUAUAGCUCGGCGCCGAAGCCAACGCGUUAAGCACCCCGCCUGGGGAGUACGGCCGCAAGGCUGAAACUCAAAGGAAUUGACGGGGACCCGCACAAGCGGUGGAGCGUGUGGUUUAAUUCGAAGCAACGCGAAGAACCUUACCAGGCCUUGACAUGCCGGGAACCCUCCCGAAAGGGAGGGGUGCCCCCUUUGGGGGAGCCCGGACACAGGUGCUGCAUGGCCGUCGUCAGCUCGUGUCGUGAGAUGUUGGGUUAAGUCCCGCAACGAGCGCAACCCCUGUCCCUAGUUGCCAGCGGGUAAGGCCGGGCACUCUAGGGAGACUGCCCGGGAAACCGGGAGGAAGGCGGGGAUGACGUCUGGUCAGCAUGGCCCUUACGGCCUGGGCUACACACGCGCUACAAUGGGCCGGACAGAGCGCUGCGACCCGGCGACGGGGAGCGAAUCGCAAAAACCGGCUCGUAGUUCGGAUUGCAGUCUGCAACUCGACUGCAUGAAGGCGGAAUCGCAUAGUAAUCGCGGAUCAGCUACGCCGCGGUGAAUACGUUCCCGGGUC